RNAcentral lists this ribosomal RNA (339 nucleotides) under uncultured bacterium. Its description in RNAcentral is "partial 16S ribosomal RNA". It matches the Rfam family "Bacterial small subunit ribosomal RNA", at positions 355 to 710 of the family's 1533-position model. The record is from RNAcentral.
UGGGGAAUAUUGCACAAUGGGCGAAAGCCUGAUGCAGCAACGCCGCGUGAGUGAUGAAGGUCUUCGGAUUGUAAAGCUCUGUCUUUUGGGACGAUAAUGACGGUACCAAAGGAGGAAGCCACGGCUAACUACGUGCCAGCAGCCGCGGUAAUACGUAGGUGGCGAGCGUUGUCCGGAUUUACUGGGCGUAAAGGGUGCGUAGGCGGAUGUUUAAGUGAGAUGUGAAAUACCCGGGCUUAACUUGGGUGCUGCAUUUCAAACUGGAUAUCUAGAGUGCAGGAGAGGAGAAUGGAAUUCCUAGUGUAGCGGUGAAAUGCGUAGAGAUUAGGAGCAAACACC